Molecule: long non-coding RNA, 433 nt
Organism: Pan troglodytes (chimpanzee)
Lineage: Eukaryota; Metazoa; Chordata; Mammalia; Primates; Hominidae
Exons: 3
Source: RefSeq, a predicted model, not a curated record
AACCAGAAAGGAGAGAGUCCUGGGGAGAGGACUGCCAUGAGAGGAGAGGGACUCAGCUAGCCACGAGCAACCUGACUUCACUUCCCUUCCCUCCCUUCAGUUUCCUUUCAGGGCUCCCCAUUGCUCAAACUCAACAGGAAGCCAGAGGAGGGGGGCACCCUGCUGAUGGAGUAUAUUCAUGUGGUUCAAAAUCCAGAGAGACAAAAAGGUAUGUGGUGAAGACUCCCUGCCAUCCACGUCUCCCUUGUACCCACUGUUGUGUUUUAGGAAGCCUUCUGGAAUUACUUCUUUUACAGGAAUGAAAUUUUCCUUGAGAUCUCCUCUAAAUCCAGCUGUUCGGAGCUUUGUUCCUGGCCCAAGACCUCCAUAUCCAUUUGGAAAAUGGGAGGAACUGAAAACCGGAAGUUCUUAUGAUGGGAGAGAGAGGUCGGGC